Podarcis lilfordi (Lilford's wall lizard) is the source of this 168-nucleotide non-coding RNA. NCBI's taxonomy places the organism in Eukaryota, Metazoa, Chordata, Lepidosauria, Squamata, Lacertidae. The record is from the annotation of a GenBank genome assembly.
GUGGGUCACUGUUGCUUCCCAGGUGGAGGGGGGGGAUGGAGGGGAGGUUGGCACAGUGCAAAUGCACUGACCAAUCUCAUCAGGCUGAGCCAAUCCUGCUGGUGCCUUUGCACUCUGCCAACCUCCCAAUCACCUCCCCAAUCCUUCUCAUGAAGCAACAGCAACCCA